RNAcentral lists this ribosomal RNA (203 nucleotides) under Symbiodinium sp. clade A. RNAcentral describes it as "partial Bacterial small subunit ribosomal RNA". It matches the Rfam family "Bacterial small subunit ribosomal RNA", at positions 104 to 309 of the family's 1533-position model. The record is from RNAcentral. Lineage: Eukaryota; Dinophyceae; Suessiales; Symbiodiniaceae.
GGGUGAGUAAUGCGUAGGGAUCUACCUCGUAGAGGGGGACAACCCGGGGAAACUCGGGCUAAUACCGCAUAAACUCUGCGGAGCAAAGGGUGGGACCAUUAUGGCCAUCCGCUGCGAGAUGACCCUGCGUCAGAUUAGCUAGUUGGUAGGGUAAAGGCCUACCAAGGCGAGGAUCUGUAGCUGGUUUGAGAGGAUGAUCAGCC